This 77-nucleotide transfer RNA is filed under the name Leptospira interrogans. RNAcentral describes it as "tRNA-Arg". It matches the Rfam family "tRNA". Rfam says of the family: Transfer RNA (tRNA) molecules are approximately 80 nucleotides in length. Their secondary structure includes four short double-helical elements and three loops (D, anti-codon, and T loops). The record is from RNAcentral. RNAcentral also lists the same sequence under 9 other names. Lineage: Bacteria; Pseudomonadati; Spirochaetota; Leptospiria; Leptospirales; Leptospiraceae.
GCACCCGUAGCUCAGCUGGAUAGAGCGCUGCCCUCCGAAGGCAGAGGUCAGAGGUUCAAAUCCUCUCGGGUGCGCCA